Molecule: long non-coding RNA, 231 nt
Filed under: Medicago truncatula (barrel medic)
Lineage: Eukaryota; Viridiplantae; Streptophyta; Magnoliopsida; Fabales; Fabaceae
Description: long non-coding RNA (MTRU_LNC000455)
Source: RNAcentral
GCUCAAGCACAACUGCAAGAGACUUCCUAUGCUCCUAAACACAAUCAAGAGACUUCUAAUGCUCAAGCACAACUACAAGAGACUUCUAAAUUCAAACAGAAUUACAAGAAAAAUGUUUGAGGUUGAACACUUGAUUUCAGUGGUGUUCACAAUACAAAUCAGAUACAAACUCUUAAGACUCUAGAAUUUCUAAGAUAUGAACUUUGAUAAGAAAUUCUAAGUGAACUUUUG